RNAcentral lists this ribosomal RNA (497 nucleotides) under uncultured bacterium. RNAcentral describes it as "partial 16S ribosomal RNA". It matches the Rfam family "Bacterial small subunit ribosomal RNA", at positions 28 to 507 of the family's 1533-position model. The record is from RNAcentral.
GAUGAACGCUGGCGGCGUGCCUAAUACAUGCAAGUCGAGCGAACAGACGAGGAGCUUGCUCCUCUGACGUUAGCGGCGGAGGGGUGAGUAACACGUGGAUAACCUACCUAUAAGACUGGGAUAACUUCGGGAAACCGGAGCUAAUACCGGAUAAUAUAUUGAACCGCAUGGUUGAAUAGAGAAAGACGGUUUUGCUGUCACUUCUAGCUGGAUCCGCGCCGCAUUGGGUAGUUGGUAAGGUAACGGCUUACCAAGGCAACGAUGCGUAGCCGACUUGAGAGGGUGAUCGGCCACACGGGAACUGAGACACCGUCCAGACUCCUACGGGAGGCAGCAGUAGGGUAUCUGCCGCAAUGGGCGCAAGCCUGACAGAGCAACGCCGCGUGAGUGAUGGAGGUCUUCGGAUCGUAAAACUCUGUUAUUAGGGAAGAACCAAUGUGUAAGUAACUAUGCCCGUCUUGACGGUACCUAAUCAGAAAGCCACGGCUAACUACGUG